AUGCUGCAGCAUGACAAGUUGUUCACAUUUGCCGGUUUCAGCAUUGAAAGCGACAAAGAGAAGCUGAAGUUGUCCGGUAUGGAGAUCAACCCCAACAAGUUCAUUGACAUUCAGCGCAAGUGGAGAGUUCCAUACACCGGAAAAGAGUACGACUCAUUGACUGAUGUUGCAGCCAGCAUCAUCCACCCAUUCUACAAAGGCAUGAAGAACAAGAUCAACACGCAGGAAGACUACAAACUAUGGGGGACAAGCGAGCUGCCAGACAACCUCAUCGAGUACGCAGGAGUAGAUGCGUACGCCGCGUAUAAGUCAUGGUUCAUGAUCGACUACAUCACAGAUGGUUCGGAAUUUGCGAAAGAGCGGGAGGCUAACAACUUCUACGACCACCCCUAUUGCCCCUUUACGGGAUGA
RNAcentral lists this ribosomal RNA (411 nucleotides) under Triticum aestivum (bread wheat). RNAcentral describes it as "partial small subunit ribosomal RNA". The record is from RNAcentral. Lineage: Eukaryota; Viridiplantae; Streptophyta; Magnoliopsida; Poales; Poaceae.